CCUACGGGAGACAGCAGUGAGGAAUAUUGGUCAAUGGACGAGAGUCUGAACCAGCCAAGUAGCGUGAAGGAUGACUGCCCUAUGGGUUGUAAACUUCUUUUAUAAAGGAGUAAAACGCGGCACGUGUGCCUUUUUGCAUGUACUUUAUGAAUAAGGAUCGGCCAACUCCGUGCCAGCAGCCGCGGUAAUACGGAGGAUCCGAGCGUUAUCCGGAUUUAUUGGGUUUAAAGGGAGCGUAGAUGGGUUGUUAAGUCAGGUGUGAAAGUUUGCGGCUCAACCGUAAAAUUGCAAUUGAUACUGGCAGUCUGGAGUACAGUUGAGGUAGGCGGAAUUCGUGGUGUAGCGGUGAAAUGCUUAGAUAUCACGAAGAACCCCGAUUGCGAAGGCAGCUUACUAAACUGUGACUGACAUUGAUGCUCGAAAGUGUGGGUAUCAAACAGGAUUAGAUACCCCUGUAGUC
Molecule: ribosomal RNA, 460 nt
Filed under: uncultured bacterium
Lineage: Bacteria
Description: partial 16S ribosomal RNA
Rfam family: Bacterial small subunit ribosomal RNA
Source: RNAcentral